GCCCUCAUAGCUCAACGGUAGAGCAGUUCCCUUUUAAGGAAAAGGUUGUAGGUUCGAAUCCUACUGGGGGCA
RNAcentral lists this transfer RNA (72 nucleotides) under bacterium. RNAcentral's name for it is "tRNA-Lys". It matches the Rfam family "tRNA". From Rfam's summary of the family: Transfer RNA (tRNA) molecules are approximately 80 nucleotides in length. Their secondary structure includes four short double-helical elements and three loops (D, anti-codon, and T loops). Further hydrogen bonds mediate the characteristic L-shaped molecular structure. tRNAs have two regions of fundamental functional importance: the anti-codon, which is responsible for specific mRNA codon recognition, and the 3' end, to which the tRNAs corresponding amino acid is attached (by aminoacyl-tRNA synthetases). tRNAs cope with the degeneracy of the genetic code in two manners: having more than one tRNA (with a specific anti-codon) for a particular amino acid; and 'wobble' base-pairing, i.e. permitting non-standard base-pairing at the 3rd anti-codon position. The record is from RNAcentral.